UGGAUUUUGGAAGUUUGAACUUAAAUAGCUUUAAGAUAAUUUGGCAACCUUGUCCCUGGAAAUCUGGCACCACUGGGGCUCCUGUCUCUCAGAAUUAAAAAAAAAAUCCAGUCUCUGCACAGGCCACCCAAUAGGAGAGACGGAUCAAAGUUGCCUUUUCUUAGCAACAGAAGCCUUGCCCAGUCACCGUAGAAGAGAUCUCUGCCGAACUCCCUCCUCUUUGAAGAAACACAACAGAGUCCAAGUGAGAAGUAGCUACAGUUUAAUACAAACCUGCACCAGAACACAACGUGUCGGGCUGUUUAGUUUUUGCCUCAAACGGUGGCCAAAGCACAGGACCGUGUGUCGUCUUGGGGUUGACACAGUCUUAGCACCAUGACAUUUACAGGGGCGUGGGGAAGUCACCUGGGUGCUGGGGUGCUGGAGGCUCCAUCCCGACCCCACGCUGUGCCUGCGCCUCAGCAGCUGGAGGGGGUUUGGGUUUCCUUGUGGUUCUGUGGCUUCUGGGUCAGUAUCGGAAAAGCCCUCAGCACGACAUCGGCUUGA
Long non-coding RNA from Cercocebus atys (sooty mangabey), 546 nucleotides. RefSeq lists it as uncharacterized. The record is from RefSeq and is a predicted model, not a curated record. The transcript has 2 exons. Lineage: Eukaryota; Metazoa; Chordata; Mammalia; Primates; Cercopithecidae.